UCCUACGGGAGGCAGCAGUGGGGAAUAUUGCACAAUGGGCGCAAGCCUGAUGCAGCCAUGCCGCGUGUGUGAAGAAGGCCUUCGGGUUGUAAAGCACUUUCAGUCAGGAGGAAAGGUUAGUAGUUAAUACCUGCUAGCUGUGACGUUACUGACAGAAGAAGCACCGGCUAACUCCGUGCCGGCAGCCGCGGUAAU
This 195-nucleotide ribosomal RNA is filed under the name uncultured Gammaproteobacteria bacterium. RNAcentral describes it as "partial 16S ribosomal RNA". It matches the Rfam family "Bacterial small subunit ribosomal RNA", at positions 337 to 524 of the family's 1533-position model. The record is from RNAcentral. Lineage: Bacteria; Pseudomonadati; Pseudomonadota; Gammaproteobacteria.